Molecule: unclassified non-coding RNA, 329 nt
Filed under: soil metagenome
Description: partial contains 5.8S ribosomal RNA, internal transcribed spacer 2, and large subunit ribosomal RNA
Rfam family: 5.8S ribosomal RNA (bases 1-120)
Source: RNAcentral
GAUGAAGAACGCAGCGAAAUGCGAUAAGUAGUGUGAAUUGCAGAAUUCAGUGAAUCAUCGAAUCUUUGAACGCACAUUGCGCCCCUUGGUAUACCGAGGGGCAUGCCUGUUCGAGCGUCAUUUCACCACUCAAGCCUGGCUUGGUGUUGGGCGACGUCCUCUUUGGGGACGCGCCUCGAAACGCUCGGCGGCGUGGCACCGGCUUUAAGCGUAGCAGAAUCUUUCGCUUUGGAAGUCGGGGCCCCGUCUGCCGGAAGACCUGCUCGCAAGGUUGACCUCGGAUCAGGCAGGGAUACCCGCUGAACUUAAGCAUAUCAAUAAGCGGAGGA